GACGAACGCUGGCGGCGUGCCUAAUACAUGCAAGUCGAACGGAGCGGCGAACGGGUGAGUAACGCGUGAGUAACUGCCCCCCUCUCUGGGAUAACAGUUGGAAACGGCUGCUAAUACCGGAUAGUGGGGGAUGACUCGGGUCCUAUUAGCUUGUUGGUCGGGUAGUGGCCUACCAAGGCGACGACGGGUAGCCGGCCGGAGAGGGGGACCGGCCACAUUGGGCUGAGAGACUGCCCAAACUCCUACGGGGGGCAGGAGGGGGGAAUAUUGCACAAUGGGGGGAACCAUGAUGCAGCAACGCGCGUGCGGGAGGACGGCCUUCGGGUUGUAAACCGCUUGCAUCCAUGACGCGGUAGUGGCAGAAGAAGCACCGGCUAACUACGUGCCAGCAGCCGCGGUAAUUC
This 404-nucleotide ribosomal RNA is filed under the name uncultured bacterium. Its description in RNAcentral is "partial 16S ribosomal RNA". It matches the Rfam family "Bacterial small subunit ribosomal RNA", at positions 28 to 526 of the family's 1533-position model. The record is from RNAcentral.